Hipposideros armiger (great roundleaf bat) is the source of this 3967-nucleotide long non-coding RNA. RefSeq lists it as uncharacterized. The transcript is spliced from 2 exons. NCBI's taxonomy places the organism in Eukaryota, Metazoa, Chordata, Mammalia, Chiroptera, Hipposideridae. The record is from RefSeq and is a predicted model, not a curated record.
GGAAGCUUUAUUCUUUAGAUAUGAAGGAGAGGGCUCAUGUUACCAACUGGGUACUUCAGCCAACCAAGAAUGCUCCUAAAAUACCUUCCUGGACUCGUUUGGGUUCAUCCACAGAAUUAGAUUCUAACACAACAUUUUGGACAGAUCUUGUGAGCCUGUGUUUCAUGAUCCAGAUUUCAGAUUCCAAAUUAAGAAAGUGAGCUGAUGGCCAUAUCAAUGUGUAACAAGAUACGUGCGAAGCCAGCACUGGCCAUUAAAUAGUGAGUGAUGUGUUGUGAGACUCAGGGAGCUCUCCCCUCCCUGGGCACAAAGGUCCUCUUGUCUUUCUGGGAUGGACAGCCUGUUUCUUCUGCUAUAAGCGUAGGUUAAAGGUUGGGUUUGUAGGUGCUUGGAAGAGUUUGGAAUGGUAUCUGUAGUUCAGAGCUCGGGUCUUGGUUGACCUAUUUUCUAGGAUUGGUCUUGACUUGGGAGCUUUUUCUCCUGGCUCAGCUAGGCUUUGAUGGUGUUAGAAAUGAAAGAGAAUUUUUCUAAAACUAAAUUUGUGGGCUAAUAGAUGCCUGUUUGAACAGUUUAACCUUCCAGUGAGUGCAAACCUAGGCUGCAGGUGAUGUGUGGCCCAGGCUGGGGAACAGUGGUCUUGGGCCACCAUGUUAGAUGUGUUUCACUCACUCACUCACUCACUCACUCACUCACUCACUCACAUACUCACAUUCUCUACUGGCUAUUUAAAGGGGUCAUUUUUUCCCAUAUUAGCUGCCAGAAAUUGUUGAAAAGUCUAAAAGACUGGUUCAAACAUCAUAUCAAAAAGUCUCUAAAUGGUGGUUUCAGAAUGACCAAAAGUUCAUAAAGCAGAGCUGUUCGCUGGAUGGGAGCCUAGGUUGACGUAACAGCUGAUGAACACUAGUGGCUGGAGAAGUGAGUGACAUGCAGCAGCACCUUUAAAAAUGUUGUAAUGUUUUCUGCUUAUGUGGGGCUUGUUCUAUUUUGACUUUCAUUAGGCUGAAGUAGUAAAUGAAUUGCACAUUUUAUUAUUGCAGGAAUUAGAAUCCUUUUCCUACUGGUAAGGCUGACUGUUGAUGUUUGAGCAGGGAUACGUGACUGAAUGUUGGUCACAUUUACUUGGAAACACCUGCCAUCCUUAUCAAAACAGAGGUGUUGUGUUCUCUCUUGCUUGAAGGGAAACAGUUUGGAUUCUGGUGCAAAGUUGAACUCUGGCAGGUACCAGAAUGUAUCAUUUACAAAGUCCAGGGUGCCUAGAGCCCGGCAUUUUGUUUUCUCAUAGUUUUCCUGCCUUUGGGAAGUCUUCUUAGGAAUAUAAGUUGGGACAGUUUCUGUAGCAUACUGUGUGUGUGUGUGUGUGUGUGUGUGUGUGUGUCUGUCUGUCUGUCUGUCUGUCUGUCUGUCUCGGGAAGGGAGGCUUAUGACAGAAAAUGGGGGUACUGGUUAGUGCUCUGUAUUGUAAAGUCAGACUAUUGGACGAUCCAGUCACUGGGUGCAUCUGAUGGCACUGCUUACCCACGGGCCUUGGCUGUAAGGUCAGGGCAAGACCUGGAAGGCUUAGCAGCUGGUGACUCAGCAGCUGUUCCCCCUGCCUUGUUAAAGCACUGCUUUGAGAUUCCAGGUGGAAGCUUUUGUUGCUAGUGCCUCAGUGAUUGGAUUUGGCGUGGCUGAUGCAAGAGACAGAAGAGCCCCCUGGGGUUUAUUAUUCGUUAGGAACCUAGAAUAUUGAGGGUGGCAGCCUCUGUGAAGUGAGGUGUCUGUUUCUUUGGAUAAGGCUGCGUGCCCAGUAAUGCCUUUGUGGAGAGACCAGUAAUCCUUGUCGGAGGGGUGCUGUGUGUCUUGGGGGACAUGUACGUGCCUGUCUCAGCCUUCGCUGAGAAGUCUGUGCUGACCGAGAUCACCACUCUCUGUUGCCAGUCUUCUCCCUGUCCUCUGGGAAGGAGGGGAGACUCCCCAUGUCGCCCACAGGGUCUGGCUUGUGUCUGUUCUGACGGACCUCGUGUUCUCUCCCCAGGAAGAGGAGGAGCAGGAGGAGGAAGAUGACGACGACGACGACGACGACACAGACGACCUAGACGAGCUGGACACUGACCAGCUGCUGGAGGCAGAGUUGGAGGAAGAUGACAACAAUGAGAACGCAGGGGAGGACGGGGACAAUGACUUUUCUCCCUCUGACGAGGAGCUAGCAAACCUUCUAGAGGAGGGAGAGGACGGGGAGGACGAAGACUCUGAUGCAGACGAGGAAGUGGAGCUGAUCCUGGGGGACACCGACAGCGCUGACAGCUCUGAUCUGGAAGAUGACAUCAUCUUAUCUCUGAAUGAGUGAGGAGCCAUCACCACAUGGGAGAUUCUUGGCAGGCGAGAAACUGAGUCAGAUGCAUUCAGAACACCUUCCCUCCCCUUCCUCCCAGGGCUGUGCAUGGCCUGCACUCAGAGGACUUGUAGCUUAGAGUCCCACUGGGACCUGAGGGCCCUUCCCAAACAGUAACUACCACAGCAAGACAGUGGGUUAGGCCCUAGUCUGCUUCCCCUUCUAGGAUGGACAUAGCUUUCCUCAAGGAAAAAAAAACCUGUCUCUGGGGUUAUUUCACAAUAUAUUUUCUUUGUAUAAUGUUCUUUACUUAAAGAACAAGAAAUAGUUUUUUAUAAAACUUAAAAAGAAAAAAAAAGCCAGGCAUUUAUAGAUGAGGGUAUGAACUUAUAUCCACCAGGUCUUGUCCCUGCACUUCAUUUUCUAUGGAAGAAAAUGACAUCUAAAGAACAAUAGAGAGGCAUUUUUACAUACGUAUUUAAAUGAAAAGGAAAAUCGUGGUUUCUUAAAUUGAUAAGGAUUAAGAAUAUUUUAUUAUAAAUAUAAUAUAUGAUUUUUAACCUGUUUUCGUUGCCUCAUAUGCUGUCAGGUUAAUUUGCUUUCCUUCGUGCCAGAGCUUGUUCGCCGAGUAAAUGCCUCGCCCCACGCAGCUUCGUGGUCUGGGCAGCGAGGUCGGUGUGGGUGGGUUCUGUGGAGUUCAGGGAACUUAGGAUAUGAGUUCACUCCCUCUAUUUUUCUUUGUCAUUCAGUUUUUAAAAAAUCUUUUUUUCUUCUCUUUCUCCCCAAUGUGGAAAUUAUAAAUCAAAGGCCUUUUUCUUUAAUGUAAAGUGUAUUUAUUUAAAAAAAAUACAAAAUAAACUACAAGUCUGUCUUUGUUGAUGGCCUUUCCCUGUCCUCUUUUACCAAAGUGGGAUCUGUCCCUUUCUUUGCAGCUCUAGCCAGGCAGUAGAGAAGACGCCUUCCGAGAGGCGGUCCGGACGGUGGUGAGGACAGUCUGCCCAAAUAAAGCCCUUGGGGAGCAAAGUGCUUAGCCCCAGUGUGUGCCCCUGGUCUGCAGCUCACCCCACAGGGACUGCCUGUAAGACUGCCACACGGGGCUGAGGGAGGCACUCAGGGCAUUGGCCACUGUGGACACAUCUCUCUGUCCCCGGCUUCUGAAUCAAGAAGGCAGCUCUGGAUUACAGGUUUGGGGGAACUGGAAAGUUGGGGGAGCUGGAAAGCUAGGGGUCUGGGGACGUUUGGGGGAGUGAACUGGCAAAGCUAAGGAGUGAAAGCAUUUGGCCAUACCUGUACUGUAGCUGGGUGACUGUACGUUUCCUGAAAGGCAGUGUCAUAGGGACUUGGGUAGUUUAGGGGCAGCUGAGGCUUGGUCAGGCUGGUUUGCAGGUAUUUCACAGGCCCCUAACACUGGCUUGUGGUUAACCCAUGCUGCCACCAAGGACAGAUACCUGGCACUUUCACCUUUACACCCAUCCCGCCCCACCUUCCCACCAUAAAUGGGAGGCCCUCGUCCCUUUUUGUCUCUGAGUUUGCCCAAGUAAUGGCUUCUCGGUUUUUAUUAUGUGGGUCUUCUAUACAGCUAAAGCCUUUUCUCCCUUAGCUGAGAAGAGGGGACAAAUUUGGUUGUGAAGUAAACAAGCAAGACAAGGCAGCUAA